This 71-nucleotide transfer RNA is filed under the name Danionella translucida. It matches the Rfam family "tRNA". Rfam says of the family: Transfer RNA (tRNA) molecules are approximately 80 nucleotides in length. Their secondary structure includes four short double-helical elements and three loops (D, anti-codon, and T loops). Further hydrogen bonds mediate the characteristic L-shaped molecular structure. tRNAs have two regions of fundamental functional importance: the anti-codon, which is responsible for specific mRNA codon recognition, and the 3' end, to which the tRNAs corresponding amino acid is attached (by aminoacyl-tRNA synthetases). tRNAs cope with the degeneracy of the genetic code in two manners: having more than one tRNA (with a specific anti-codon) for a particular amino acid; and 'wobble' base-pairing, i.e. permitting non-standard base-pairing at the 3rd anti-codon position. The record is from Rfam by way of RNAcentral. Lineage: Eukaryota; Metazoa; Chordata; Actinopteri; Cypriniformes; Danionidae. RNAcentral also lists the same sequence under 1 other name.
GGCUGGUGGUCUAGGGGUAUGAUUCUCGCUUUGGGUGCGAGAGGUCCGGGGUUCAAAUCCCGGAUGAGCCC